Molecule: long non-coding RNA, 587 nt
Organism: Vigna radiata var. radiata (mung bean)
Lineage: Eukaryota; Viridiplantae; Streptophyta; Magnoliopsida; Fabales; Fabaceae
Exons: 3
Source: RefSeq, a predicted model, not a curated record
UUAUUUGAAUGAGAAUUGUGAAGUGAAGCCCAAAAACUCUUCUGAAGAGGCUCUUCAGAGAUGGAGGAAACUAUGCGGGUUUGUCAAGAACCCCAAACGACCCCAAACGACGCUUUCGUUUCACUGCCAAUCUCGCCAUGAGAAGCUGCUAUGUGUCGUACCAAUCAGGAGAAGCUGAGGAUUGCAGUUUUGGUUUCCAAAGCAACUAUUCAAUUUAUCCAAAGCGUGCAACUAAGCGAUUACAAACACAUGGUUUUGAUCAAAUCUGUGAAGAUGAAUUGGCGUGUAUCAUUGAAGGCCAUGAUGUAAAAAAGUUCAGACUUCAUGGUGGGGUUAAUGGCAUUGCAGAAAAGCUUUUCUACAUCAACCACUGAGGGGCUUAACAGUGACAGCGAGUCAUUGAAUACGAGACAACAGAUAUAUGGAAUCAACAAAGAAGGGCUUAACAGUGACAGCGAGUCAUUGAAUAUGAGACAACAGAUAUAUGGAAUCAACAAAUUUACUGAAAGUGAAGCUACAAGUUUCUAGGUUUUUGUUUGGAAAGCUUUUCAAGACAUGACUCUGAUGAUAAAACUUUGGCAAUGAAA